RNAcentral lists this ribosomal RNA (603 nucleotides) under Salmonella enterica subsp. enterica serovar Saintpaul. Its description in RNAcentral is "partial 23S ribosomal RNA". It matches the Rfam family "Bacterial large subunit ribosomal RNA", at positions 670 to 1269 of the family's 2925-position model. Lineage: Bacteria; Pseudomonadati; Pseudomonadota; Gammaproteobacteria; Enterobacterales; Enterobacteriaceae. The record is from RNAcentral.
AGGGAAACCGAGUCUUAAUUGGGCGUUAAGUUGCAGGGUAUAGACCCGAAACCCGGUGAUCUAGCCAUGGGCAGGUUGAAGGUUGGGUAACACUAACUGGAGGACCGAACCGACUAAUGUUGAAAAAUUAGCGGAUGACCUGUGGCUGGGGGUGAAAGGCCAAUCAAACCGGGAGAUAGCUGGUUCUCCCCGAAAGCUAUUUAGGUAGCGCCUCGUGAAUUCAUCUCCGGGGGUAGAGCACUGUUUCGGCUAGGGGGCCAUCCCGGCUUACCAACCCGAUGCAAACUGCGAAUACCGGAGAAUGUUAUCACGGGAGACACACGGCGGGUGCUAACGUCCGUCGUGAAGAGGGAAACAACCCAGACCGCCAGCUAAGGUCCCAAAGUCAUGGUUAAGUGGGAAACGAUGUGGGAAGGCCCAGACAGCCAGGAUGUUGGCUUAGAAGCAGCCAUCAUUUAAAGAAAGCGUAAUAGCUCACUGGUCGAGUCGGCCUGCGCGGAAGAUGUAACGGGGCUAAACCAUGCACCGAAGCUGCGGCAGCGACGCUUAUGCGUUGUUGGGUAGGGGAGCGUUCUGUAAGCCUGUGAAGGUGGCCUGUGAGGG